UACGUAGGGAGCGAGCGUUAUCCGGAAUUAUUGGGCGUAAAGGGUGCGUAGAUGGUUGAUAUAAGUCUUUUGUAAAAAUGCUAGGCUCAACCUAGUAGGGCAAAAGAUACUGAUGAACUAGAGUACGGCAGAGGCAAGUGGAACUACAUGUGUAGCGGUAAAAUGCGUAAAUAUAUGUAAGAACACCGGUGGCGAAGGCGGCCUGCUGGGCUUUUACUGACGCUGAGGCUCGAAAGCGUGGGUAUCAAACAGG
Molecule: ribosomal RNA, 253 nt
Filed under: uncultured Anaeroplasma sp.
Lineage: Bacteria; Bacillati; Mycoplasmatota; Mollicutes; Anaeroplasmatales; Anaeroplasmataceae
Description: partial 16S ribosomal RNA
Rfam family: Bacterial small subunit ribosomal RNA
Source: RNAcentral